CCUACGGGUGGCAGCAGUGGGGAAUAUUGCACAAUGGGGGAAACCCUGAUGCAGCGACGCCGCGUGAGCGAAGAAGUAUUUCGGUAUGUAAAGCUCUAUCAGCAGGGAAGAAAAUGACGGUACCUGAGUAAGAAGCUCCGGCUAAAUACGUGCCAGCAGCCGCGAUAAUACGGAGGGAGCAAGCGUUAUCCGGAUUUACUGGGCGUAAAGGGGGCGUAGGCGGCCUGCCAAGUCUGAUGUGAAAUGACGGGGCUUAACUCGGGGGCUGCAUUGGAAACUGGCAGGCUGGAGUGUAGGAGAGGCAGGCGGAAUGUAUAGUGUAGCGGUGAAAUGCGUAGAGAUUAGGAGGAACACCAGUGGCGAAGGCGGCCUGCUGGACGGUGACUGACGCUGAGGCUCGAAAGCGUGGGGAGCAAACAGGAUUAGAUACCCUUGUAGUC
RNAcentral lists this ribosomal RNA (440 nucleotides) under uncultured bacterium. RNAcentral describes it as "partial 16S ribosomal RNA". It matches the Rfam family "Bacterial small subunit ribosomal RNA", at positions 338 to 795 of the family's 1533-position model. The record is from RNAcentral.